AAAACAUGUCUUUUCGGUUUUUUUGGAAAGUCUGGCCUGCCCAGUGAAUAUUUAACGGCCGCGGUAUAUUGACCGUGCAAAGGUAGCAUAAUCAUUAGUCUUUUAAUAGAAGUCUGGUAUGAAAGGUUUAACGAAAUAUAAUCUGUCUUAUAUUUAUUUUUAUAAUUUAACUUUUAAGUUAAAAGGCUUAAAUUUUAUUGAUGGACGAGAAGACCCUAUAGAGUUUUAUAUAAUUAAUUUCAAUUAUGUUAUUGAUUAAAUAUAAUUAUUGAAUUUUAUUUUUAUUUGGUUGGGGUGAUUAUAAAUAAAUAAAUAACUUUUAUAAAAAAUAACCAUUAAUUUAUGAUUAUUAGAUCCAGUAUUAUUGAUUAUUAGAAUAAAUUACCUUAGGGAUAACAGCGUAAUCUUCUUUCAGAGUUCAAAUUUACAAGAAGGCUUGCGACCUCGAUGUUGGAUUAAGAUAAUUAUUAAGUGCAGAAGCUUAAUUAAUAGGUCUGUUCGACCUUUAAAUUCUUACGUG
RNAcentral lists this ribosomal RNA (520 nucleotides) under Mecistogaster modesta. RNAcentral describes it as "partial 16S ribosomal RNA". It matches the Rfam family "Bacterial large subunit ribosomal RNA", at positions 1810 to 2602 of the family's 2925-position model. Lineage: Eukaryota; Metazoa; Arthropoda; Insecta; Odonata; Coenagrionidae. The record is from RNAcentral.